This is an RNA transcript of Bufo bufo (common toad), 767 nucleotides long. It is a transcript of the gene named MYST/Esa1 associated factor 6, with no coding region annotated. The record is from RefSeq and is a predicted model, not a curated record. Lineage: Eukaryota; Metazoa; Chordata; Amphibia; Anura; Bufonidae. The transcript has 8 exons.
CGCCUCCCCUUGUCCCUCCCUCCUUCCUCGCACUCCAUCAUGGCGAUGCAUAACAAGGCCACAGCGCCUCAGAUCCCAGAUACGCGCCGGGAACUAGCCGAGCUAGUGAAGCGGAAACAGGAGCUAGCGGAAACGCUGGCAAAUCUGGAACGCCAGAUCUAUGCGUUCGAAGGAAGUUACCUGGAAGAUACGCAGAUGUAUGGAAAUAUUAUCAGGGGUUGGGACCGUUACUUAACAAACCAAAAGAACUCAAACAGUAAAAAUGAUAGAAGGAAUAGAAAAUUCAAAGAAGCAGAAAGACUGUUCAGCAAAUCUUCAGUCACUUCAGCAGCGGCAGUGAGCGCGUUGGCUGGAGUACAAGACCAAAUGAUUGAUAAACGAGAACCAGGUAGUGGAACAGAAAGUGACAACUCUCCAGACUUUCAGAAUCAGGAAAAUGAGCCCAGCCAAGACGAUGCAGAAGAUCUAGAUGGCUCCCUGUCGGGUGUCAAGCCUCAGAAAGCAGCCUCAUCGACCAACUCCGGAGGACAUCAUAGCAGUCAUAAGAAACGCAAGAAUAAAAAUAGGCACAGUCUCAAUAUCUCCCGAUCAAGCACAGAGUGACGCCUGCGCUUCCUUGUUCAUGUGAUUGACCUCAAGCUAAACAAAAAGCCCAGAUCUGAUUAUUAAUGUGGCUUCGUCUUCAGCAUCAAGAAAAAAAAUUCAGCAGAAAAAUGAAUUAUUCAUCCAGAAUUUUUAUUUACCCAAGACUGGACUAAAACAUUUCC